This 520-nucleotide ribosomal RNA is filed under the name uncultured Acaulospora. RNAcentral's name for it is "SSU rRNA". It matches the Rfam family "Eukaryotic small subunit ribosomal RNA", at positions 569 to 1086 of the family's 1831-position model. The record is from RNAcentral. Lineage: Eukaryota; Fungi; Glomeromycota; Glomeromycetes; Diversisporales; Acaulosporaceae.
AGCAGCCGCGGUAAUUCCAGCUCCAAUAGCGUAUAUUAAAGUUGUUGCAGUUAAAAAGCUCGUAGUUGAAUUUCGGGGUUUAUCCGUUGGUCGGGCUUUUUGGUCUGUACUGGCGUGAUGGAUUCCUACCUUCUGAAUAACCGGCAUGCCAUUAAUUUGGUGCGCCGGGGAAGCAGGACUGUUACCUUGAAAAAAUUAGAGUGCUUAAAGCAGGCUUAUGCCUGAAUACAUUAGCAUGGAAUAAUGAAAUAGGACGGCAUGGUUCUAUUUUGUUGGUUUCUAGGAUCACCGUAAUGAUUAAUAGGGAUAGUUGGGGGCAUUAGUAUUCAAUUGUCAGAGGUGAAAUUCUUGGAUUUAUUGAAGACUAACUUCUGCGAAAGCAUUUGCCAAGGAUGUUUUCAUUAAUCAAGAACGAAAGUUAGGGGAUCGAAGACGAUCAGAUACCGUCGUAGUCUUAACCAUAAACUAUGCCGACUAGGGAUCGGAUGAUGUUAAUUUUUUAAUGACUUUCAUUCGGCGC